CAACCUCAACUCAUACGGGACUACCCCCUGAAUUUAAGCAUAUUAAUUAGGGGAGGAAAAGAAACUAACAAGGAUUUUCUUAGUAGCGGCGAGCGAAAAGAAAUCAGUUCAGCACUAAGUCACUUUGUCUAUAUGGCAAAUGUGAGAUGCAGUGUACGGAACAUCAACAUUCUAGUAUGAGAAGUUAACGAUUUAAGUCCUUCUUAAAUGAGGCCAUUUACCCAUAGAGGGUGCCAGGCCCGUAUAACGUUAAUGAUUACUAGAUGGUGUUUCCAAAGAGUCGUGUUGCUUGAUAGUGCAGCACUAAGUGGGUGGUAAACUCCAUCUAAAACUAAAUAUAACCAUGAGACCGAUAGUAAACAAGUACCGUGAGGGAAAGUUGAAAAGAACUCUGAAUAGAGAGUUAAAUAGUACGUGAAACUGCUUAGAGGUUAAGCCCGAUGAACCUGAAUAUCCGUUAUGGAAAAUUCAUCAUUAGAAUUGUAAUAUUUUAAACAAUAUUAUAAUAAUAGUGUGCAUUUUUUCCAUAUAAGGACAUUGUAAUCUAUUAGCAUAAAUAUUUAUCAUAAAAUUAUGUCUGAUUGCUUAUUUGAAUUAUAUGCUUGGCAUUUUAACAUAAAAUAAAAGAUAUAAAUUUGAUAAAGUGCUGAUAGAUUUAUAUGAUUACAGUGCGUUAAUUUUUCGGAAUUAUAUAAUGGCAUAAUUAUCAUUGAUAUUUGUGUUUAUUAUAUGCAUUUGUAUGAUUAACAAUGCGAAAGAUUCAGGAUACCUUCGGGACCCGUCUUGAAACAC
RNAcentral lists this non-coding RNA (792 nucleotides) under Drosophila virilis. RNAcentral's name for it is "Eukaryotic large subunit ribosomal RNA". It matches the Rfam family "Eukaryotic large subunit ribosomal RNA", at positions 1 to 662 of the family's 3401-position model. Lineage: Eukaryota; Metazoa; Arthropoda; Insecta; Diptera; Drosophilidae. The record is from Rfam by way of RNAcentral.